Molecule: ribosomal RNA, 900 nt
Filed under: uncultured bacterium
Lineage: Bacteria
Description: bacterial SSU rRNA
Rfam family: Bacterial small subunit ribosomal RNA
Source: RNAcentral
AGAGUUUGAUCAUGGCUCAGAAUCAACGCUGGCGGCGCGCCUAACACAUGCAAGUCGCACGAGAAAGUGGAGCAAUCCAUGAGUACAGUGGCGUACGGGUGAGUAACACGUGGAUCAUCUGCCCUGGAGUGGGGAAUAACGCUGGGAAACCGGCGCUAAUACCGCAUAUUCCCGAGAGGGGAAAGCAGCAAUGCGCUCGAGGAGGAGUCCGCGGCCGAUUAGCUAGUUGGUAGGGUAAAAGCCUACCAAGGCUGUGAUCGGUAGCCGGCCUGAGAGGGCACACGGCCACACUGGCACUGAAACACGGGCCAGACUCCUACGGGAGGCAGCAGUGGGGAAUCUUGCACAAUGGGGGAAACCCUGAUGCAGCGACGCCGCGUGAGCGAUGAAGCCCUUCGGGGUGUAAAGCUCUUUCGGCAGGGACGAUUAUGACGGUACCUGCAGAAGCAGCUGCGGCUAACUACGUGCCAGCAGCCGCGGUAAUACGUAGGCAGCAAGCGUUGUUCGGAGUUACUGGGCGUAAAGGGUGUGUAGGCGGCCCGUUAAGUUCCGUGUGAAAUCUCCCGGCUCAACCGGGAGGGUGCGCGGAAAACUGGCGGGCUAGAGUACGGGAUGGGAGAGUAGAAUUCCUGGUGUAGCGGUGAAAUGCGUAGAUAUCAGGAGGAAUACCGGUGGUGUAGACGGCUCUCUGGACCGUAACUGACGCUGAAACACGAAAGCGUGGGUAGCAAACAGGAUUAGAUACCCUGGUAGUCCACGCCCUAAACGAUGCAUAUUUGGUGUAGGCAGUUCAUUCUGUCUGUGCCGGAGCUAACGCGUUAAAUAUGCCGCCUGGGGAGUACAGUCGCAAGGCUGAAACUCAAAGGAAUUGACGGGGGCCCGCACAAGCGGUGGAGCAUG